AUAAAAACUUGGCGACAGCCGAAGACAGCAGGUGCGAAAAAGGCUUAAUUAUCCUGCCUAGGUUGAUGAGGAUAUUAAAAAAGUAAACGUGAUUUUCAGAUUAGUUUUAAUCUCAUCACUAUUUAUAAUUUAAAGAUUAUCUCGAUACAUCAACCGAAAACCCGUGCUAAUAGUUGCUAGGGUUUUUUUAAUUGUCUU
This is a non-coding RNA of Geminocystis sp. NIES-3709, 198 nucleotides long. Lineage: Bacteria; Bacillati; Cyanobacteriota; Cyanophyceae; Chroococcales; Geminocystaceae. The record is from Rfam.